This 502-nucleotide ribosomal RNA is filed under the name uncultured bacterium. RNAcentral describes it as "partial 16S ribosomal RNA". It matches the Rfam family "Bacterial small subunit ribosomal RNA", at positions 899 to 1397 of the family's 1533-position model. The record is from RNAcentral.
ACUCAAAUGAAUUGACGGGGGCCCGCACAAGCGGUGGAGCAUGCGGUUUAAUUCGAUGUUACACGAAAAACCUUACCAACUUUUGACAUAGUGGUCGCGGAGAACAGAGAUGUUUUCCUUCAGUUAGGCUGGACCACAUACAGGUGUUGCAUGGCUGUCGUCAGCUCGUGUCGUGAGAUGUUGGGUUAAGUCCCGCAACGAGCGCAACCCUCAUCCUUAGUUGCCAGCGAGUAAUGUCGGGAACUCUAAGGAAACUGCCGGUGAUAAGCCGGAGGAAGGUGGGGACGACGUCAAGUCAUCAUGGCCCUUACAGGUUGGGCUACACGCGUGCUACAAUGGCAGUGACAAAAGGAUGCUAAGGGGUGACCUGGCGCAAAUCCUAAAAAGCUGUCUCAGUUCGAAUUGCACUCUGCAACUCGAGUGCAUGAAGUCGGAAUCGCUAGUAAUCGCGGAUCAGCAUGCCGCGGUGAAUACGUUCACGGGCCUUGUACACACCGCCCGU